Molecule: unclassified non-coding RNA, 311 nt
Filed under: plant metagenome
Description: partial contains 5.8S ribosomal RNA, internal transcribed spacer 2, and large subunit ribosomal RNA
Rfam family: 5.8S ribosomal RNA (bases 1-105)
Source: RNAcentral
GAAAUGCGAUACGUAGUGUGAAUUGCAGAAUUCAGUGAAUCAUCGAAUCUUUGAACGCACAUUGCGCCCUUUGGUAUUCCAAAGGGCAUGCCUGUUCGAGCGUCAUUUGUACCCUCAAGCUUUGCUUGGUGUUGGGCGUUUUUUGUCUUUGGUUGCCAAAGACUCGCCUUAAAAGGAUUGGCAGCCGGCCUACUGGUUUCGCAGCGCAGCACAUUUUUGCGCUUGCAAUCAGCAAAAGAGGACGGCAAUCCAUCAAGACUCCUUCUCACGUUUGGCCUCGGAUCAGGUAGGGAUACCCGCUGAACUUAAGC